This 90-nucleotide small nucleolar RNA is filed under the name Ananas comosus (pineapple). Its description in RNAcentral is "Plant small nucleolar RNA SNOR75". It matches the Rfam family "Plant small nucleolar RNA SNOR75". Rfam says of the family: U15 is a member of the C/D class of snoRNA which contain the C (UGAUGA) and D (CUGA) box motifs. The record is from Rfam by way of RNAcentral. Lineage: Eukaryota; Viridiplantae; Streptophyta; Magnoliopsida; Poales; Bromeliaceae.
UCUCGAUGAUGAAUAAAUCAAAUAGAUGACGAGUCCGAUCUAAUCCAUUCCAUUCUUAUGAGGACAAAUCGAGGCAUUUGUCUGAGAGAA